GACGAACGCUGGCGGCGUGCUUAACACAUGCAAGUCGAAUGGAAAGUCCCUGCUUUUUUGCGGUGCUCGAGUGGCGAACGGGUGAGUAACACGUGAGUAACCUGCCCUUGACUUUGGGAUAACUUCAGGCAACUGGUGCUAAUACCGGAUAGGAGCUCCUGCUGCAUGGUGGGGGUUGGACAGUUUCGGCGGUUGGGGGUGGACUCGCGGCUUAUCAGCUUGUUGGGGGGGUAGUGGCUUACCAAGGCUUUGACGGGUAGCCGGCCUGAGAGGGUGACCGGCAACAUUGGGACUGAGAUACGGACAAGACUCCUACGGGAGGCAGCAGUGGGGAAUAUUGCACAAGGGGAGGAAGCCUGAGGCAGCAACGCCGAGUGCGGGAUGACGGCCUUCGGGUUGUAAACCGCUUUCGCUUGUGACGAAGCGGGAGUGACGGUAAUGGGUAAAGAAGCACCGGCUAACUACGUG
This 468-nucleotide ribosomal RNA is filed under the name uncultured bacterium. RNAcentral describes it as "partial 16S ribosomal RNA". It matches the Rfam family "Bacterial small subunit ribosomal RNA", at positions 28 to 507 of the family's 1533-position model. The record is from RNAcentral.